RNAcentral lists this transfer RNA (74 nucleotides) under Microcaldota archaeon. Its description in RNAcentral is "tRNA-Pro". Lineage: Archaea; Nanobdellati; Microcaldota. The record is from RNAcentral.
GGGGGGCUCUGCUAGCUUGGUCAGGCUUCAGCCUUCGGGAGGCUGCGACCCGUGUUCAAAUCACGGGCCCCCCG